AACGAACGCUGGCGGCAUGCCUAACACAUGCAAGUCGAACGAGACCUUCGGGUCUAGUGGCGCACGGGUGCGUAACGCGUGGGAACCUGCCCUUAGGUUCGGAAUAACUCCCCGAAAGGGGUGCUAAUACCGGAUAAUGUCUUCGGACCAAAGAUUGAUCGCCUUUGGAUGGGCCCGCGUUGGAUUAGCUAGUUGGUAGGGUAAAAGCCUACCAAGGCGACGAUCCAUAGCUGGUCUGAGAGGAUGAUCAGCCACACUGGGACUGAGACACGGCCCAGACUCCUACGGGAGGCAGCAGUGGGGAAUAUUGGACAAUGGGCGAAAGCCUGAUCCAGCAAUGCCGCGUGAGUGAUGAAGGCCUUAGGGUUGUAAAGCUCUUUUACCCGGGAUGAUAAUGACAGUACCGGGAGAAUAAGCUCCGGCUAACUCCGU
RNAcentral lists this ribosomal RNA (432 nucleotides) under uncultured bacterium. RNAcentral's name for it is "partial 16S ribosomal RNA". It matches the Rfam family "Bacterial small subunit ribosomal RNA", at positions 29 to 506 of the family's 1533-position model. The record is from RNAcentral.